GCUGUAUCAUCUCCUCUGCAUCUGCUUUAUCAAGCUCUCCAGCUCUUGCAUCUUCCAUGAGCACAUGGCCUUGUUUCCUUCUUGAAUAAAUCGGUUAGCGUACUGCAUUCUUAUCGUAUGAACUCUAGGGUUGCUUAAUCAUAUGCACACAUAGAACUUUCAGCUUGUGGCUUGGUGCCAUGUGCUCAUCAGGACGGUUGCAAAGUACAUAUUUUGAAGUCUUUUUCCCUGAUUAGCAUGUUCUUUCUUUUCAUGUAAUUCACUGUUACUGGGCAAUGAGAUAGCCACCCCCUUGCAAAUACCCAGUGUCAACUUGAUGCAUCACAUGCAGCAAUUGAUAUAUUUGAUGCUUGUUAUGUGGUACUUGGUAGGUUUGUAUAUAUUCCUAUUGGUGCCCUGUUCAUAUGGAAAGCUCAUGCUGUUUCAUCUAUCCGCAGGCGCUGAUGCCACGUGGCCUAGGAAGAAGAAUUUGGUUCCUCUGAGCAUGUUGUGGUCAGGAAGAGAAGGUGAUGCGUGGAUCGGAUGUAUUUGUUUGUUCAAUGCCUUUGCCGUGUCGGAAGCUAUGAUGCCCAGUUGCAGCAUUUGAACUUUUAGGUCCUGACCGUUCAAAACCUGAACAUCUUGUUACUGCAAUGUUAAUGUCUAAAAGCACGGGUAUGCCCUGCUUAGAUAGAACCUGAGCUUGCUUGUAUCCACUGAACUCCUGCAAUGGCAAGGAGGUCUAGAAUAUUACUGGAUGAAAUGCUUUGUUUCGAUGAAUCACAAGUAAAUAUUACUACUAGUAUGAUGUGUCAUUUUGGCACCAUUUCACGUCUGGUUAUUUUAUCCGCGUUACUUUUGUCUAAUUA
RNAcentral lists this long non-coding RNA (848 nucleotides) under Triticum aestivum (bread wheat). Its description in RNAcentral is "long non-coding RNA (TAES_LNC000922)". The record is from RNAcentral. Lineage: Eukaryota; Viridiplantae; Streptophyta; Magnoliopsida; Poales; Poaceae.